CCUACGGGGGGCUGCAGUGAGGAAUAUUGGUCAAUGGGCGGGAGCCUGAACCAGCCAAGUCGCGUGAAGGAAGAAGGUACUUAGUAUUGUAAACUUCUUUUGUCGGGGAACAAAGGCGGAGACGCGUCUCCGGAUGAGUGUACCCGAAGAAAAAGCAUCGGCUAACUCCGUGCCAGCAGCCGCGGUAAUACGGAGGAUGCGAGCGUUAUCCGGAUUUAUUGGGUUUAAAGGGUGCGUAGGCGGACUGGAAAGUCAGCGGUAAAAUCGAGAGGCUCAACCUCUUUCCGCCGUUGAAACUGUCGGUCUUGAGUGGGCGAGAAGUAUGCGGAAUGCGUGGUGUAGCGGUGAAAUGCAUAGAUAUCACGCAGAACUCCGAUUGCGAAGGCAGCAUACCGGCGCCCGACUGACGCUGAGGCACGAAAGCGUGGGUAUCGAACAGGAUUAGAUACCCUUGUAGUC
This 459-nucleotide ribosomal RNA is filed under the name uncultured bacterium. RNAcentral describes it as "partial 16S ribosomal RNA". It matches the Rfam family "Bacterial small subunit ribosomal RNA", at positions 338 to 795 of the family's 1533-position model. The record is from RNAcentral.